UGAGUAGCAAUACUUGACAGUGGCGCACGGGUGCGUAACGCGUAUGUAACCUACCUAUGAUAGGGGAAUAGUCAGGAGAAAUUUUGAAUAAUACCCCGUAUUAUUUAGUCAUCGCAUGAUGGUUAGAUGAGAGGAGUAAUCCGAUGAUAGAUGGGCAUGCGUAAGAUUAGCUAGUUGGUGGUGUAACGGACCACCAAGGCGAUGAUCUUUAGGGGUUCUGAGAGGGAUGUCCCCCACACUGGUACUGAGAUACGGACCAGACUCCUACGGGAGGCAGCAGUAGGGAAUAUUGGGCAAUGGAAGGAAUUCUGACCCAGCCAUGCCGCGUGCAGGAAGAAGUCUUUCGGGAUGUAAACUGCUUUUACAUGGGAGGAGAUAAGUCAUGCGUGACUUUAGGACAGUACCAUGGGAAUAAGGACCGGCAAACUACGUGCCAGCAGCCGCGGUAAUACGUAGGGUUCGAGCGUUGUCCGGAUUUAUUGGGUUUAAAGGGUACGUAGGCGGCUAAAUAAGUCAGUGGUAAAAUUCUGUGGCUCAACCAUAGUAUAGCUAUUGAUACUGUAUAGCUAGAGAUACGAAGAGGCAUUAGGAAUUUGUGGUGUAGCGGUGAAAUGCAUAGAUACCACAAGGAACGCCGAUUGAGAAGUCAUGAUGCUGGGAGUAAUCUGACGCUGAGGUACGAAAGUGUGGGGAUCAAACAGGAUUAGAUACCCUGGUAGUCCACACUGUAAACGAUGAUUACUAGAUAGACAUGAGCGAUUGUGUUUGUCUAAGCGAAAGCGAUAAGUAAUCCACCUGGG
RNAcentral lists this ribosomal RNA (800 nucleotides) under uncultured Bacteroidota bacterium. RNAcentral's name for it is "bacterial SSU rRNA". It matches the Rfam family "Bacterial small subunit ribosomal RNA", at positions 73 to 877 of the family's 1533-position model. Lineage: Bacteria; Pseudomonadati; Bacteroidota. The record is from RNAcentral.